UACGUAGGGGGCAAGCGUUGUCCGGAUUUAUUGGGCGUAAAGAGCGUGUAGGCGGCCAGGUAGGUCAGCUGUGAAAACUCGAGGCUCAACCUCGAGACGUCGGUUGAAACCACCUGGCUAGAGUCCGGAAGAGGAGAGUGGAAUUCCUGGUGUAGCGGUGAAAUGCGCAGAUAUCAGGAAGAACACCCGUGGCGAAGGCGGCUCUCUGGGCCUUACCUGACGCUGAGGCGCGAAAGCUAGGGGAGCGAACAGG
This 253-nucleotide ribosomal RNA is filed under the name uncultured bacterium. Its description in RNAcentral is "partial 16S ribosomal RNA". It matches the Rfam family "Bacterial small subunit ribosomal RNA", at positions 524 to 776 of the family's 1533-position model. The record is from RNAcentral.